UUACGGCCAUAUCACGUUGAAACAAUGGCUCCCUUACGAUCAUCAAAAUUAAGCAACGUCGAGCCUGGUCAGUCCCUAGAUGGGUGACCCCAUGGGAAUACCGGGUGCUGUAAG
Molecule: non-coding RNA, 114 nt
Organism: Acanthosepion pharaonis
Lineage: Eukaryota; Metazoa; Mollusca; Cephalopoda; Sepiida; Sepiidae
Source: the annotation of a GenBank genome assembly